Molecule: ribosomal RNA, 254 nt
Filed under: uncultured bacterium
Lineage: Bacteria
Description: partial 16S ribosomal RNA
Rfam family: Bacterial small subunit ribosomal RNA
Source: RNAcentral
UACGUAGGGCGCGAGCGUUGUCCGGAAUUAUUGGGCGUAAAGAGCUCGUAGGCGGCUUGUCGCGUCGGAUGUGAAAGCCCGGGGCUUAACUCCGGGUCUGCAUUCGAUACGGGCAGGCUAGAGUUCGGUAGGGGAGAUCGGAAUUCCUGGUGUAGCGGUGAAAUGACGCAGAUAUCAGGAGGAACACCGGUGGCGAAGGCGGAUCUCUGGGCCGAUACUGACGCUGAGGAGCGAAAGCGUGGGGAGCAAACAGG